GUCCACGCCGUAAACGAUGAGUGCUGGGUGUCGUGGGUUUGACCCCGCGGUGCCGUAGCUAACGCGUGAAGUUGACCGCCUGGGGAGUACGGCCGCAAGGUUGAAACUCAAAGGAAUUGACGGGACCCGCACAAGCGGUGGAUGAUGUGGUUUAAUUCGAUGCAACGCGAAAACCUUACCCACCUUUGACAUGUACGGAACUCGCCAGAGAUGGGCUUGGUGCUCGAAAAGAGAGCCGUAACACAGGUGCUGCAUGGCUGUCGU
RNAcentral lists this ribosomal RNA (264 nucleotides) under uncultured bacterium. Its description in RNAcentral is "partial 16S ribosomal RNA". It matches the Rfam family "Bacterial small subunit ribosomal RNA", at positions 793 to 1055 of the family's 1533-position model. The record is from RNAcentral.